Molecule: small nucleolar RNA, 103 nt
Organism: Caenorhabditis elegans
Lineage: Eukaryota; Metazoa; Nematoda; Chromadorea; Rhabditida; Rhabditidae
Source: Ensembl
UUUUUGUCAAAUGUUCCAAAGUACUUUUCUUCUAUCAGAACUGACUGAUAAUGUCUGAAAAUGGCGUGGUUUUCGCUGCUUUUUCCCAUCGCUAACUAUAUGU